Molecule: ribosomal RNA, 1349 nt
Filed under: uncultured bacterium
Lineage: Bacteria
Description: bacterial SSU rRNA
Rfam family: Bacterial small subunit ribosomal RNA
Source: RNAcentral
GCCUAAUACAUGCAAGUCGUGGGAGACCACCGGGGCAACUCGGUGUGUAAACCGGCGAACGGGCGAGUAAUACAUAGCCAACCUACCCUCCCGACUGGGAUAACCUGCCGAAAGGUGGACUAAUACCGGAUAUCGUUGCGAGGGCGCAUGCACUUGCAACCAAAGCUACCCGAAUGGGAUGCGCAGGGGGACGGGGCUAUGGCCUAUCAGCUUGUUGGUGAGGUAACGGCUUACCAAGGCUGCGACGGGUAGGCGAGCUGAGAGGCAGGUCGCCCGCAUGGGAACUGAGACACGGUCCCGACCCCUACGGGGGGCAGCAGUAGGGAAUCUUGCGCAAUGGCCGAAAGGCUGACGCAGCGACGCCGCGUGAGGGAUGAAGGCUUUCGGGUUGUAAACCUCGCUCUGCCUGGAAGAAGACUGACGUUACAGGAAGAGAAGUGCCGGCUAACUCCGUGCCAGCAGCUGCGGUAAUACGGAGAGCACAAGCGUUACCCGGAUUCACUGGGCGUAGAGGGUGCGUAGGCGGCCGAAUAACUUGUGUGUGAAAAGCUCUGGCUUACCCAGAGCCCUGCACGCAAAAAUGUCCGGCUAGAGGGCGCUAGAGGUGAGCGGAAUUCCAGGUGUAGCGGUGAAAUGCGUUGAUAUCUGGAGGAACGCCGAAGGUGUAGACAGCUCACUGGGGCGCUCCUGACGCUGAAGCACGAAAGCUGGGGGAGCAAACCGGAUUAGAUACCCGGGUAGUCCCAGCCCUAAACGAUGUGGACUAGACGUAGGGGCUUGUCUCCUGUGUCGUAGCUAACGCGAUAAGUCCACCGCCUGGGUAGUACGGCCGCAAGGCUAAAACUCAAAGGAAUUGGCGGGGGCCCGCACAAGCGGUGGAACACGUGGUUCAAUUCGAUGCAAACCGAAGAACCUUACCUGGGCUCGAACGGCUAGUAGUAGAAGUCUGAAAGGAUGACGAUCCGUCGUAAGAUGGAAGCUAGUCGAGGCGUUGCAUGGCUGUCGUCAGCUCGUGUCGUGAGAUGUUGGGUUAAGUCCCGCAACGAGCGAAACCCCUAUCUUCAGUUGCGACCCGAAAGGGGCACUCUGAAGAGACUGCCGGUGUCAAACCGGAGGAAGGUGGGGACGACGUCAAGUCCGCAUGGCCCUUAUGUCCAGGGCGACACACGUGUUACAAUGGCCGGUACAAAAGGCUGCGAACCCGCGAGGGGGAGCUAAUCCUCUAAAACCGGCCUCAGUGCGAAUCGGAGGCUGCAAUUCGCCUCCGUGAAGCCGGAAUCGCUAGUAAUCGCGGGUCAGCGAUACCGCGGUGAAUAUGUUCCCGGGCCUUGCACACACCGCCCGUCACA